RNAcentral lists this ribosomal RNA (970 nucleotides) under Cibicides refulgens. RNAcentral's name for it is "bacterial SSU rRNA". It matches the Rfam family "Eukaryotic small subunit ribosomal RNA", at positions 1207 to 1824 of the family's 1831-position model. Lineage: Eukaryota; Foraminifera; Rotaliida; Cibicididae. The record is from RNAcentral.
UGACUCAACGCGGGAAAUCUUACCGGGUCCGGACACACUGAGGAUUGACAGGCAAUAUUAAUACGUUUUGCUUCGGUAACAUCGUAUUAUGUUAAAUAUGCUAGUCCUUUCAUGAUUAUGUGAUAGGUGGUGCAUGGCCGUUCUUAGUUCGUGGAGUGAUCUGUCUGCUUAAUUGCGUUUCACUAAGGGCCUAUAAAUUUACGUGUGUUGCAUCGCACUUUGACCCCUUUCUUUAAUUAGAGAGCGCGUGUCUUAGUUUUCGCUUUGCUCAUACAAUUAGGUCCUAGAAAGCAACGAACGUGACCGCAACCUCUUGUUGCCUUUAUACCAAACAUGUUUUGCGUCAAUUUUCGAAUUGCGCGCAUUUCAUGAAAAAAGGCUUUUUAAACUAGAGGGACCGCUGUUACUUUCUUAAACCAGAGGAAGGUUGCGGCAAUAACAGGUCUGUGAUGCCCUUAGAUGUUCCGGGCUGCACACGUGCUACAAUGAUUAUUGCAGUGAGCAUCUCAUUUUUACACACCGCAUGCGCGAGUCCAUUUAUUCACCUUCGGGUGUUUUAAAUGUGUAUCUCUGCGCGCGGUAAAGCCUGCUUCGACAGUAAGUGGGUAAUCAAUUAGAAGUAAUGAUUUCCUUUUUUUUAGCACACAUAUAUACGGGUCUAUGCCCGGGUUACCUUGUUGUAGCUUUUGUSCKUWUAKGUUUUUYCGUAGUGCGAUUGCAAUYAGGGGGGGACAGACCAUUGUUAAUUGUUGGUCUCGGUCUUAACUAGGAAUGCCUUUGUACGGGUCUUUGGUUCAACAAACCACCCGGAAUCGUCCCUGCCCUUUGUACACACCGCCCGUCGCUCUUCCGAUGGACUUCUCUGUGAGUUUGAGGGACUGGGAACGCAGGAAUUUAUUUCUGCACACCUAUGGAAACUUAAACGAACAGUGGUGGUCUUAAAGGAAAGAGAAGUCGUAACAAGGCAUAA